UGGUGGAGUGAUUUGUCUGGUUAAUUCCGUUAACGAACGAGACCUUAACCUAUUAAUUAGUGACGCGAAUCUGGUGGGCAACCAUCAGUUCGAUUCGUGGGAACACUUCUUAGAGGGACUCUCGGCAUAUCUAGCCGAUGGAAGUUUGAGGCAAAAACA
This 159-nucleotide ribosomal RNA is filed under the name uncultured eukaryote. RNAcentral describes it as "partial 18S ribosomal RNA". It matches the Rfam family "Eukaryotic small subunit ribosomal RNA", at positions 1299 to 1458 of the family's 1831-position model. The record is from RNAcentral.